Molecule: non-coding RNA, 90 nt
Organism: Aedes albopictus (Asian tiger mosquito)
Lineage: Eukaryota; Metazoa; Arthropoda; Insecta; Diptera; Culicidae
Source: Rfam
UGUUCUGUGGCUUAGUUGGUUGAAGCGCUGGUCUAGCGAAUCAAGCGAAUCUAGCAAUCGCAGUCGUGGGUUCGAAUCCCACCAGAACGC